GAUGAACGCUGGCGGCGUGCCUAAUACAUGCAAGUCGAGCGAACAGACGAGGAGCUUGCUCCUCUGACGUUAGCGGCGGAUGGGUGAGUAACACGUGGAUAACCUACCUAUAAGACUGGGAUAACUUCGGGAAACCGGAGCUAAUACCGGAUAAUAUAUUGAACCGCAUGGUUCAAUAGUGAAAGACGGUUUUGCUGUCACUUAUAGAUGGAUCCGCGCCGCAUUAGCUAGUUGGUAAGGUAACGGCUUACCAAGGCAACGAUGCGUAGCCGACCUGAGAGGGUGAUCGGCCACACUGGAACUGAGACACGGUCCAGACUCCUACGGGAGGCAGCAGUAGGGAAUCUUCCGCAAUGGGCGAAAGCCUGACGGAGCAACGCCGCGUGAGUGAUGAAGGUCUUCGGAUCGUAAAACUCUGUUAUUAGGGAAGAACAAAUGUGUAAGUAACUAUGCACGUCUUGACGGUACCUAAUCAGAAAGACACGGCUAACUACGUG
This 497-nucleotide ribosomal RNA is filed under the name uncultured bacterium. RNAcentral's name for it is "partial 16S ribosomal RNA". It matches the Rfam family "Bacterial small subunit ribosomal RNA", at positions 28 to 507 of the family's 1533-position model. The record is from RNAcentral.